This 161-nucleotide transfer RNA is filed under the name Oceaniovalibus sp. ACAM 378. RNAcentral's name for it is "tRNA-Met". The stretch from base 97 to 150 matches the Rfam family "tRNA", at positions 10 to 63 of the family's 71-position model. The record is from RNAcentral. Lineage: Bacteria; Pseudomonadati; Pseudomonadota; Alphaproteobacteria; Rhodobacterales; Roseobacteraceae.
UGGGGGAGUGGCUAUUUGUCAGUGCCAUAAAAGUGGUAAAAGCUAUCUGAUCUACGUUGCUAUCUACGUCUCGGGUUUGGGCUUAGAUUUGCUUUCGUCCAAAUUAGCACAUCAGGCUCAUAACCUGAAGGUCGUAGGUUCAAAUCCUACUCCCGCAACCA